Leptonychotes weddellii (Weddell seal) is the source of this 122-nucleotide small nucleolar RNA. RefSeq annotates it as small nucleolar RNA SNORA20. NCBI's taxonomy places the organism in Eukaryota, Metazoa, Chordata, Mammalia, Carnivora, Phocidae. The record is from RefSeq and is a predicted model, not a curated record.
CUUUACAUUGAUUUGCUGCUCUAGUCUUUUAGUAAGCAGUUAUACACAUGGGAGAGAACAAUAGGCUGUUGUAAAUGGAGUUGGAGUAACAAUUUCAUCUCUUCUGUGAAGUCCAGAUAUUG